UUUCAUGCAAAUCUGCUGCAACAGCUAAUUUCUGAGCUGGUGCCUGGCCUGUUGCCCCUAAGUUUGACAGAUGAACCAACACUCUGCAAGCAAGGGCUGCCAUCUGGGACCGCUCAGCUGAGGAUGGCAUCAUGAGCAGGAACCCAGGUUUCUCAGGAGGCCUUGGGCUACUAUCUGGUGAUCAUGACUCCCAGGGUAGAGAGACAGGAGCUUGUGCUUCCCACUUCCUCCCAAUGACUGCCUGGAUAUGAUGGACCAUGGUGGGGUCACAACACGAACUUGAGACUAUGAUGUUAACCA
Molecule: long non-coding RNA, 300 nt
Organism: Sapajus apella (tufted capuchin)
Lineage: Eukaryota; Metazoa; Chordata; Mammalia; Primates; Cebidae
Exons: 3
Source: RefSeq, a predicted model, not a curated record